Molecule: long non-coding RNA, 808 nt
Organism: Panicum virgatum (switchgrass)
Lineage: Eukaryota; Viridiplantae; Streptophyta; Magnoliopsida; Poales; Poaceae
Exons: 2
Source: RefSeq, a predicted model, not a curated record
CCUGCACGCCGGCGGACAAGCCUCGAUCGGCAGCCAUGGGUUAAAUCGAGGAAGGGAGCAGGCCACGCUCGGUCGCUGACUGCACAAGAGCCUGUAGGACAGGAUGGGAUCGCCCAUUCACCUACAGCCUUCACCUCGGCUGUUUCCUUCUUGUUGGUGGGGUGACACUAUGGUGAUUGGGUGAUGUGCGCGGCAGCAGCGUAUGAGCAGAGAUUGUACGUUGAUAUUGACAGCAAUGAAUGAACGUCUAGCAAUCAACCAAAUGGAGUCGUCCAUGAAUUUUCUACCAUGACUUUGGGGCGCGAUGUGUGUGGACAGCACAAUCGAUGAUGCGUACUGGUUGGCGUCUUCGGUGGCGCAUUUUCUUGGCUGAGGAAAGAACAGAGCAACUUGAAGGCGAACCCAUUCAAUGUGCUUCCCUCGUUUACACGGCACGUGAGAGGCUCCACCGAAUGAAUAUACGGUGAAGUUGGUGUGGAACUUUACUUGAAUUUAACUGUGGGCCCAGAAUACAGAUGAAGGUAUUAAUACUAUGGUUGAUGAAGCCAUGAAGGACCACACCACAGUACUGUUAGAUUGUUCAACCUUGACUAAUACAACUACGGUAGAUGAUGCAUGCAUGUAAAAAAAUAAAAAUACUCCUCUCCUGGGUGUUUGUCACGUCAGUCUCAUUGUGGCCAGUCCGCUUUUGUAAAGCAAAGUUCCUACUAGUAGAAAGUUUGGCUUGGUAUUCUUUCUGGUCCUUGUCGAUGCACUGUUAUAUAUGAAUGAAUGGAUGGAAAACAAGGGAGGCAAAAAGACUGAAACA